UACAGAGGGUGCAAGCGUUGUCCGGAUUUAUUGGGCGUAAAGCGUUUCGUAGGCGGUUUGGUAAGUUACACUUCAAAUACCAGGGCUCAACCUUGGGAAGGGGUGUAAUACUAUCAGACUUGAAAUAUUUCGGAGUUUUCGGAACUGUCGGUGUAGGAGUGAAAUCCGUUGAUAUCGACAGGAACACCAAGGGCGAAGGCAGAAAACUAGGAAUCUUUUGACGCUGAGGAACGACAGCUAGGGGAGCGAAAGGG
Molecule: ribosomal RNA, 254 nt
Filed under: uncultured bacterium
Lineage: Bacteria
Description: partial 16S ribosomal RNA
Rfam family: Bacterial small subunit ribosomal RNA
Source: RNAcentral